AGCCACUGUAGAGUAAGAAGAAAUCAUGAACAUAAGUUAGUUUGGAAGAAACACGUCAUCAAACAUCCACUUUGUGGCAAACUAUCUGGCUUGCCACAAAACUAAAAUGUUUCCGUCAAUAAUUUCUCCUAGGAAUUUCUUUUAGUGGUUAAAGUAAGAACAGAGAUCCAGAAAUUAAUAUGCAAUCAAUUCCACCACUAACAGUAAACAUUACACAGCACGUAUUUGAAAAAAUACAUUGUUGGUCAACAGGUGAGUCCCUAGUACAUGCUAGACACUGGGAUCAGCUCAGCAAUCACCAAAACAGAAUCAAUCCCUGACUGCUUAAGAAUUUAUAACCUGGUGAAUAUGCUCACAAAAAUAAAAGAAGUGCUAAUAAAAGUAUAGGAAAUAUGAGUAGAGAAGCAGCGGCCUGAGGUGCGGGGUCUUCUGAUGAAACUGAAGAAAGGAGGAAAAGAGACCUUUCCAAUGUCACAGAAUAAUUUUUAGGGCUGGACAAGAAUCCAAGCCUGUAACUGCAGAGACCAGAGAUCUUUCUGUUACACUCUUGGGAAGCAAAUUCUAAGAUCUUUAUGCAUUAUCUUGUGGGGGGGGGAGCGGGAAAUGCCUAAAGUCAAAAGAAGCCGGAAAGCACCUCCAGAUGGCUGGGAAUUGAUCGAACCAACACUGGAUGAAUUAGACCAAAAGAUGAGAGAAGCUGAAACAGAGCCUCAUGAGGGCAAGAGGAAAGUGGAAUCUCUGUGGCCCAUCUUCAGGAUCUACCACCAGAAAACCCGCUAUAUCUUUGACCUCUUUUAUAAACGGAAAGCCAUAAGCAGAGAACUAUAUGAAUGUUGUAUUAAAGAAGGGUAUGCAGACAAAAACCUGAUUGCAAAAUGGAAAAAGCAAGGGUAUGAGAACUUGUGCUGCCUGUGGUGCAUUCAGACACGGGAUACCAAUUUUGGAACAAACUGCAUUUGCCGGGUCCCCAAAAGCAAGCUGGAAGUGGGCCGCAUCAUCGAGUGCACGCACUGUGGCUGCCGGGGCUGCUCUGGCUGAGGCCCGCAACCCCUCUCCGCCCAGGACCUUGGACUUGGCAGUUGCUGUCUGCUGCGCCACCCCCUCUCCUGGGAGCAGCUCUUCCUACAGAGCAGUGACCCAGGCCCAAGUUGGAACAUGAUCUCUACGGGUGAAGGCUUUGCUGUCUAUCAGCUGUGAUUUGUAAAAAUAAAACUUUCAAACUUCAAAAAAAAAAAAAAAG
This is a non-coding RNA of Microcebus murinus (gray mouse lemur), 1240 nucleotides long. NCBI's taxonomy places the organism in Eukaryota, Metazoa, Chordata, Mammalia, Primates, Cheirogaleidae. The record is from RefSeq and is a predicted model, not a curated record.